AUUGAACGCUGGCGGCAGGCCUAACACAUGCCAGUCGAACGGAAGCAGGGUGCUAGCUUCUGCAUACGGGUGCGGAGGGGUGGAUGGGGCCGGAGAAUCUCCGUAGUUGCGGGGUAUAACGUCCUAACAUGGGCGAAAAUACCAUAAUAGCGCUGAGGGAGAACGGGGGAGAUCAUGGGACCUCCCGCUCUCAGGUGAUGCUAUGUCGGAUUAGCUAGUUGGGGGGGUAAAGGCCUACCAAGGCGACGAUCCGUAGCUGGUCUGAGAGGAUGAUCAGCCACACUGGAACUGAGACACGGUCCAGACUCCUACGGGAGGCAGCAGUGGGGAAUAUUGGACAAUGGGCGCAAGCCUGAUCCAGCCAUGCCGCGUGCGUGAAGAAGGUCUUCGGGUUGUAAAGCACUUUUGUUUGGAAAGAAAGGCAGCAGGUUAAUACCCUGCUGUUUUGACGGUACCAAAAGAAUAAGCACCGGCUAACUUCGUG
RNAcentral lists this ribosomal RNA (484 nucleotides) under uncultured bacterium. RNAcentral describes it as "partial 16S ribosomal RNA". It matches the Rfam family "Bacterial small subunit ribosomal RNA", at positions 30 to 507 of the family's 1533-position model. The record is from RNAcentral.